AAGAAAAAAGAAAGGGAGGGGGGAAGAGAGAGAGAAAGAAAAAGCCCCAGUGUAGGCAGUCCUACUUGGAGUCCUGAUGUCACAGCCACAUGACUCGCUCGCUCCAGUAACAGUGCUUGCAAAAAAAAAAAAGGAGUUUUAAAGCUUUUGCUUUUUUGGAUUGUGUGAAUGCUUCAUUCGCCUCACAAACAACCACAGAACCACAAGUGCGGUGCAAACUUUCUCCAGGAGGACAGCAAAGAAGUCUCUGGUUUUUAAAUGGUUAAUCUCCGCAGGUCACUACCAGCCACUGAGACCAACAGAGUCAUUUGAGGAUCCAAGUAUUUACACCAGAAGGUGAAAUCUCUGAGUGAACCGAGAGGGACUAUGGCAUCAAACAGCCUGUUCAGUUCAGUAACACCAUGUCAGCAAAACUUCUUUUGGGGUAAGUACUGCAAUAUUUGAGUUUCUGUUUUCCAUUGUCAGUAGUUUUCUUACUUUUAAUAAUGGUGGUUACAGUUAUCUAAGCAGAAACCUGCUGAAUGGGAUGUGAAGGUGUUAAAAUAGCUUACUUGGUUUUCUGGGGGGGGAGAAGGGAGAAGUCACCGUAAACUUCUGCAGAUUUAUAGACAAAUUUGUUAGCUGACAAGCUGAGCAAAAUGAAGUCCUUAGUGUUUGACAGCAGGUGUGCUCAGCUGUCACUUGGGCCAAGGUGUAGCUACACAAAUUCAGAAGAGUCUAAUGAGAUCUAGUCUAAUGCUUAAUAUUAUCUUAGGGAAAAGAUAAGUACUUUGUGAAUUUACCAACAACAGCACGGAGUAGCUUAUUCAGAACUCUGGUGUAAAGCCUAACACUUACAGAUGUACCCACCAUGACUGGUUAACGGAAGAUACUGAAAGAGGCUAAAAUUAUAAGACUUAAGACUGCUUAUUCUUUAACCCUGAUGACAAUGAGUAGCAUAUAGCAGCCUGUCCUACUCAUAACUGCCCAUCUUUGUUGCAGACAUCUUAUUUUUAAGCAUAUAUAUCACCUGAAUUUAUCUGUGUACAUCUGCAGUUCUCUGGUCUUUUGUUGCCCUCAUUGCACAGCAAAGCCUGUGAUAAUAUAUUCGUUUGUAAAAGCAAAUUCUUAUUACACUUAUUAUGAAGAAGGCAAAACAUUCAUGCAUAAAAAUAUUAAGCUAUGAAAUCAAAAAUACAUGAUUUAACAUGCUGAUGAAUUUAAGCUUUAAUUGAAAGUGGUAUUUUAAAAACUUUGUAGAAAAGCAUUGCCAAAUAUUUACCUCUAUAUUCUGAAUGGUAAAAGCAGAUUCCUUUAAGAAAUCGUAUAAAUAUUCUAAGGCAAUUAUUUAUAUGCAAUGCAUACAUGCAUGCCUAUAAAAAUCAUAAAUACGCUAUGAAGUUGCACCUCUAUCAUUACUUUGAAAAGCUUCUUCCUCUCAAGCACAGUCUUAAAAACCAGUAUAAAGCACCUCACGGAACAUUAAAUAAAACUGAAUAUGACUAAGUAAUUUAUCUGCAAGUAUAAGCAAGUUUUAUUUUAAAGCGUGUUGGAAAAUGCUGUAUUCUAGUCAUCCUUGAUGAGCAGUAAGAAGUAUAUUCAAUUUAUAUUCAAUUUUUUACCAAAGCAUCUUUUACUGAGACAUCAGAAAAACUGACUGAAAAUUCUGAAAGAUAAGACAGUAAAAUUCAGAAAACUUACAAGAUUUUCUUAAUGGUGUCCGUCAUGUUGAAACCAUUUUGGGACUGCAGCUAAACCUAUUUCUUUUCCUCCCCUACCCCCCUUCUACAAAAAAAAAAAACAAUACUAGAACCAUUUUCAGUAUAUGCAUCCCUAUUAAGCUUGUAUUGUAAUGAAAUGAUGACUGGAUUUCCUUUUAACCCUCCUACUUCAUACGCUUUGACUGGUUCCCAGUUAAACCCAUGAAUAAGCUGUAACAGUGUGUGUAUGAAAAGAAAUACAGAAUAGUGUGGGACAGCUUCUUCCAGGAGAGAGACCAGUUUUAACUUAGGAUCUAUAGAGAGCAGAAGAGAUAACAUAAUGUGUGGCUGGUCAUGUAGCUAUAACACACCGAACAUUGAGCUGAAAUACUAACACAAAGAUGGUAAGUAGCUUUUCUACCAAAACUGCCGUCUUAAUGAAGCACAGCAGAAGCGUAGCCAGACCACAUUAUCCCUGUGUUUACAACAGGAAAUACAAUUUACAUGUAUAGGGACUUUCUUUUGCUUUUACUUCCAAAAGAGAUUAGAAGAAAUUUAGUUGGCUAAAACUAUCAAAACAUGGAGUGCUGACUGCUUAAUUCAUCUACUUUUUGAUCAUUCCUAAAGCCAGGGAGAAGUUCUGUAGCAUGAAUACUACUUUUCCCUAAAAUUCACUAAAUAGGUUUGAGCACAGAAAUUUCACUUUGGACACAAAGAAUGGGUGUGAGGGACUAUAAAUCUCAGCAGCUCUAUCAAUACGUAAGCAAUGUAUCUUUAGCUAAAACCAAAGCUAAAAAAACCCAACCUUCAUAAAAAUGAGACAGAAUAUAUUUUUAAAAGAACAAAAGUGAGAAGACCCAAGUUACUUGUAAAUUUGCCAUUUCCUACCAAUUGUAUGUAAGAACACACAAUCUGUUCAUCCUUUUUGUACUGCCUCUAUCUCCUUCUACUCACAUCUCCACGUUAUUCCUUUCAGGACUGUUUAACUUAAUUAUGUUUCUCUUCAAGAAUUAACUUAUGAAACAUAAUAACAAGUCAUAAUAGGGAAGGAAAACAAUGCUAAGAUGACUAACUAGCAUGGUUACUAAUCUAUG
Molecule: long non-coding RNA, 2773 nt
Organism: Neopsephotus bourkii (Bourke's parrot)
Lineage: Eukaryota; Metazoa; Chordata; Aves; Psittaciformes; Psittacidae
Exons: 2
Source: RefSeq, a predicted model, not a curated record